RNAcentral lists this ribosomal RNA (466 nucleotides) under uncultured bacterium. Its description in RNAcentral is "partial 16S ribosomal RNA". It matches the Rfam family "Bacterial small subunit ribosomal RNA", at positions 28 to 507 of the family's 1533-position model. The record is from RNAcentral.
GAUGAACGCUGGCGGCGUGCUUAACACAUGCAAGUCGAACGAUGAAGCCCAGCUUGCUGGGUGGAUUAGUGGCGAACGGGUGAGUAACACGUGAGUAACCUGCCCUUAACUCUGGGAUAAGCCUGGGAAACUGGGUCUAAUACCGGAUAGGAGCGUCCACCGCAUGGUGGGUGUUGGAAAGAUUUAUCGGUUUUGGAUGGACUCGCGGCCUAUCAGCUUGUUGGUGAGGUAAUGGCUCACCAAGGCGACGACGGGUAGCCGGCCUGAGAGGGUGACCGGCCACCCCGGGACUGGGACACGGCCCAGAACCCUACGGGAGGCAACAGUGGGGAAUAUUGCACAAUGGGGGCAAGCCUGAUGCAGCGACGCCGCGUGAGGGAUGACGGCCUUCGGGUUGUAAACCUCUUUCAGUAGGGAAGAAGCGAAAGUGACGGUACCUGCAGAAGAAGCACCGGCUAACUACGUG